UUGGGGAGUUCAGAAGAUCCAGAGAUCCACUGACAGUCAUUGCUGAAUGGCAGCAUUAACCAGUAACAGAAGACAUUCGAGUGGAAUGGCUAAAAUCAAGGGAAGCAAUUCCAGCAGGAGCAGAGAGACGCCCCCUCCCCCAAAGACAAAGAGUGUGAAAGGAACCCAGAGAGCCAAGAAGAGCCAAAUGGGACAUUCGGAAAGCCCGACCAGUGAAAAAGGGAAGUACAACGUGUUUGAAGGGACAAGCCCAAGGCUGGAAAGGACUCUUUGAUCUUUAAGAGGCUCAUAAACAAGGGCAGUCCACUUGCAGCCCUAUAUUUACACUUCCAAAUGUUGGUAGCUAAUCUGAAUGGAGUUUCAAGGCUGCAAGAGUUUGCAGUUUAGCCAGAAAGAAGCAGAGGAAGCCAAUUGCAUCAAACUUUUAAAGCUUGAGACAAGCUUCGCUAAUUGUUAACCAACGAACUAAAACACUGGCAAACACUUAUUUCAAAUGGGAUUUAAAAUAAUCAUAAAAAUCCAUGUAAGGCAUUCAUAAAAGAAGGAGGUGAAGGGGGGGAAGAGAAAAAAGAUAAUGGAAACUAAACUUAAGCCUCCCGUGCAGAUUAUUGCUAUCUAUUACUCCCUUUCAUGCAUUCUGCAUUCCAAUCAAGGCAGCCCACUUGCUGUUACAUACGUGGCAAUUAUCCAUUUCUAUACCUUGAAAUAGACUUUGCCCCAUGGCCUGGAAUGCUUUCCCUCCUUCUUUGAAGUUUGGCUCAAUCACCAACUCCUUCACCCAAAUAACCUGAAAUGUAUGUUGUUUGUGGAUAUGUUUAUAACUUUUUUUGGUGUUGAUUCUCAUUUUUAAUUUUUUUUGGAAAGGUAUUUUAUUUGACCAAUUACAUGUAACAGCAAUUUUACAAAAACGUUUUCUGAAGUCAUAUGGUUCAAAUUGUCUCCCUCCCUUUGUUUCCCUGUCCCCUUCCUAGAGAUGGCCAACAAUCUGAUCUGGACUAUACAAAUAUUAUCAUAUUCACAUCUCUUAAUAGGGGUCCUAACAGAUGAAAGAUAAAUGAAGUGUUCAGGGAGAACUAGCACCUCUGGUGUGAGAGUUUGACUAGCCUUUUCUCCUUUUCCUUUAAACCCUUAAACUUCCAUUUUAGAAUCAAUGCUAUUUAUUGGCUCCAAGGCACAAGAGUGGUAAGGGCUAGGCAAUGGGGGUCAAGUGACUCACCCAGGGUCACCCAGCUGGGAAGUGUCUGAGGUCAGAUUUGAACCCAGGACCUCCCAUCUCUAGACCUGGCUCUCAAACACUGAGCUACCCAGCUGCUCUCUUUGCCUAGCCUUUUACAAAGCUUUGGUGUCCACCUACCACAUAGCUCUCACCUGUGGCUCCAAGGAGCAGAAGCAUGUGUGGAGCAUACUCCAAUAAACCCAUCUUGACCAAUGGGCUAAAGCA
Molecule: long non-coding RNA, 1441 nt
Filed under: Monodelphis domestica (gray short-tailed opossum)
Lineage: Eukaryota; Metazoa; Chordata; Mammalia; Didelphimorphia; Didelphidae
Description: lncRNA (ENSMODG00000043987.1)
Source: RNAcentral